UAUUGCUUGAAACUGUCGCGCCGUUGGUU
Molecule: small RNA, 29 nt
Filed under: Bombyx mori (domestic silkworm)
Lineage: Eukaryota; Metazoa; Arthropoda; Insecta; Lepidoptera; Bombycidae
Description: ovarian small RNA-24247
Source: RNAcentral